This 1544-nucleotide long non-coding RNA is filed under the name Pan troglodytes (chimpanzee). RNAcentral describes it as "long non-coding RNA NONPTRT011878". The record is from RNAcentral. Lineage: Eukaryota; Metazoa; Chordata; Mammalia; Primates; Hominidae.
CAUCCAUAAAUAUUGCUCGGCUCUGUAGCUCACUCUCCAAAGUUCAGAGUUCAUCUUUAAAGGAAGUGGUGCUGGCCCCGGUCGUGUGACCUGGCCGAAGUGGCUGCCUCAGGCUGGCACCUGGGCUUGAUAGAAUGAAGAAGAGAACAGCAUCAGUGGGGCCUCCGAAAAAUCUGGAGAAGAUUUUUUUCUUCCAAAUAUGGAAGAUACAAAGAUCAAGGAUGACAGGCUAGUGAUCAGGUCAUGUGACUGGUGUGGCAGCUCACUGGUUUUUCUGGACCCAGUCCCAACUGUCUUCAUUCUCUUUCCGGUUCUUCUCAGCUUCGAUAAUUUCUUUGUACCUUCGGCGAAAGAAGCCCAUCUGAAAGGCAGAAAGAAAGAGGAGAAGCUGAGUUAGAAGUGCUGAAGAAUCAGCCAUUGUGACCCCAAGGCAGUCUGUCCCUGGGUAGGUGUGACCUGCACUCACAGGGCUGGGGAGGCUUGGAGGACCCCUCGGAUUAGAGAAAACACUGGCAAGAAAAACAUCCGGUGGAGACAUUUUUCAAAAUGCAUGGACUUCCUGCGGGUGAUAUUAGGCUUCUUCACUGUGAGCCAAACAUCCAGGGAAGCAUCACAGCCACCCUGAUGGUCAUAAGCUCCCCUGAAGAAGGGAAGGCAGGUGGACCUGAGGAGCUGUCUGUUGCCACCAUCUUUCUACUUCCCUAAAGGGGGCUUAUUGGCCAAGCCAAAGACGAGAACUGUCAAGAGAGCCAGCAGGUAUCUUCACCCACGUUGCCAAGGAGAUCCUGAGCAUUCACUGUGAGGGGAAGUCGAUAAGGUGGUGCAGUUUGAAUGACUGGGAAAGAGCAGAAGCUUUCUUAGAACAACUGGCAAGAGUCUUGUGUUCUGAGCUUCAAUCCUCAAGGCCAGUUUUGUAAACAGAUAUUGAGUUCCUGGUGAUUUCAGCCCUGGAGGUUUCUUCCCAGCAUAAGACCACAUUCAUCAGAAUGCCACGUUCUGACGCCCCCACACAUAUACUUUUCUCUCCUGAAACCUCUUCACCUUCUCCCCUCUGCAAGAGAUGUGGAAAAGGUGCUUGGCCAGAAUUUUCUGGAUAAUUAAGAAAAAGUCAUAGACAUCAUCCCCACAGCACACCCACAGAAGGCCAGAAAAACGGACCAAGACUGAAUGGAAAUCUAAGAAGCUACUGCUUGAAAUGUCAUUCUUUUGCGAUAAAGGUGUGGUUGGCCAAGAAAACAUGACCAGAUGUGGCUGGUCACAUGCCAUGAAGGAGAAUGUAAUCAUGAAACUGUGGAAGGAUGUAACAGGGAAAUAAGAUUCUCUAGCACAUACCUUUGGCUGCUGAUGUUGUAAUGUGUCAAUAAUCCCAGGUCACUCAGUUGUAAUUCCAGAGAAGUCACAUUUCCCUACCAUGGCACUAUCAAGCAGAAACUUAACAGUCUGCCCUCUUAUUAUCUCCUGCAUUUGUCUUAGGACUCCUUGAAGGCAGGCUUUGUGCUUUCAAUCCCCAGUACUCAGCAUCUCACCUGUCCUUGGUACCAGCG